UUAAUCAAGGAUUGAUAUUAAAUUGUUUUAUCAAAUGUUUUUUCUGCAUCUAUUCAUAUGUUUGCAUGUCUGUUAAUGUGGCGAAUAUUGCUAACUGAUUUAGUCAUGAGGUAUUUUCUUAUAUCUAUGCUACUGGAUUCCAUUUGCUAACAUUUUGUUUAGGAAUUUUAGAUAUAUGUUUUUUGUAACAUUGGCCUGUAAUGGGAGUAAAUUAGUUUGACAAAAUCAAAUUUUAAAAUGCAAUGUCUUUGACCCAGAAUGUAUCCUAUGGAUGUACUCCACAGGAUAUGCAAAAGUAUAUGUACAAGCAUAUUUAUUGUUAUAAUAGCAAGAAACUAAAGACAAAUGUCCUUUAGUCGGAGACUUGGUUUUUUAAAAAGGUACAGUAUUUUGUUGCCAUUACAAAGAAUGAGGUAGAUCUAUUUGUGCUGAUGUGUAAAGUUCUCCGAAAUCUAUAAUUAGGGUAAAGCAGGUGGCAAGAGCAAGAAUACAUAUUUAUCUCUAUCCCGUUUGUGAAUUUUUUAAGUGAUAGCGCUAUGGCUGUGCAUAUGCUAUUUCUGGAAGCGCACUCAAAGCCUUGUAACACCACUUCCCUCUGGAGAGCAGGGAUGGCAGGAAGCUGUAGGACUACGUCUCUUUCCACACCUUUUUAUAAUUCAUGAGCAUGAGCAUGUAUUGGUCUCUGUACACCUGCCCCUGGGCUUGAGGAGGCCCUGCUGGCUGCAAUGUCUCACUUUCACCUAACUGCACAGAGUCUCAGCCACUUCCCUCCAGCCCUCGAGGACUGUCACCCAUCCUAGAAUGGAGGCCUUGCAUUAGGCCCGGGUUUGGCCAGAAGAAUAGAGCAGUUGGAAAUGUUAAGUUGACAUAAAUAGGAAGCUCUAUAACCUCGUGCAAGUGUUGUCUUGGAAACCAGAGCCUGGGCGGUCUCCAUGGAAACCGUGCUCAGCCUUCUGCCUGAAGGAGUUACCACCCACUGGUGCUGGAGUGUUAUUUAUCAGGGACCUCAGAGCUCCAAUAACUGCUUAGGGAAUGAUGAUGGACUGGUCCCUGCCCACCCUGGCCAUGUCGGGUGUGGGUCCCUGGGCACCUCCAGCUCUCUGCCUGGGAAAGAAAAAGAGCCCAUUUCCAUGGGAUGUGCCCUCAUGGGGAGGCACAGCAGACCACCCAAGGCAGCACUUGCAGUGUCCCCGAACUGCCAGAGCACGGAGGCAGAGACGUGGGAGCCGAUGAAGGUCGCACGCCAGCCUCCCACCUGUGAGACAAAGGGCCCUGUCACUGGAAGCCACGUCCAGCCUGGCCCCGCAGGAGCCAGGGCUCUGCGCCUAACGGAGGACUGAUAGGAAAGGGAAGGCUGGCAGCAGUGAGGGGCCAUCAUCUGAAUCACGUUCCUGUAUUCGGGCUUUGCCCCUCCAAAACAGUUUUGAUGGGAGACACCAGCCACCUACUACUAUGCAGCCAUGCACCACAUAACGACGUUUCAGGCAACAAUGACUGCACAUACCACAGUGGUCCCGUAAAAUUACAAUGGAGCUGAAAAUUUCCUAUUGCCUAGUGACGUCACAGCCAUUGUAAGGUCAGAGUGCAACACAUCACUCAUGUGUUUGUGUUGAUGCUGCUGUAAACAAACCUACCGCACUGCCAGUCAUAUAAAAGUAUAGCCCAUACAAUUAUGUGUAGUACUUAAUAAUAAUAAACAACUAUG
Long non-coding RNA from Gorilla gorilla gorilla (western lowland gorilla), 1705 nucleotides. RefSeq lists it as uncharacterized. The transcript is spliced from 3 exons. The record is from RefSeq and is a predicted model, not a curated record. Lineage: Eukaryota; Metazoa; Chordata; Mammalia; Primates; Hominidae.